UACGUAGGGGGCAAGCGUUGUCCGGAAUCAUUGGGCGUAAAGAGCGUGUAGGCGGUUCGGUAAGUCGGCUGUGAAAGUCCAGGGCUCAACCCUGGGAUGCCGGUCGAUACUGCCGGACUAGAGUUCGGAAGAGGCGAGUGGAAUUCCCGGUGUAGAGGUGAAAUUCGUAGAUAUCGGGAGGAACACCAGUGGCGAAGGCGGCGAUCUGGGAAGAUACUGACGCUGAGGUGCGAAAGCGUGGGGAGCAAACAGG
RNAcentral lists this ribosomal RNA (253 nucleotides) under uncultured bacterium. RNAcentral describes it as "partial 16S ribosomal RNA". It matches the Rfam family "Bacterial small subunit ribosomal RNA", at positions 524 to 776 of the family's 1533-position model. The record is from RNAcentral.